ACUCAGCACCGGCCCUCUGAGUCUGCAGUUCAAGAGCUGGUUCUUCUGUAGGAGGAUCUCAGAGAAGUGGGAAGGUUUUGUCGGAGAGUCUAAGAAGUUUCGUGUGUGCCUAUAUUUCAGAAGCCAGAUAUUCUGAUGGGUCCUGCACCACUGAAGAGUCAUGCCAUGCUGCUCAGCAGGAGAUAUUCCUGUGGCUUUUCAUUCACCUUGCUUGCUGCCCAUUUCCUCUUCUCAAAUGCCUGUGAAUAUGAGCCAAUGAGUGGUGAGAAUUGCCUUAAUCGUACUUCAAAAUCUGUGCAAGAAGGGGAGACAAUAACAGUGAAAUUUGCUAAUGAUUCAGAAUCUUCAGAACCGUAUUUCGACAUCUGCAUUUGGAACAGCG
Long non-coding RNA from Zootoca vivipara (common lizard), 382 nucleotides. RefSeq lists it as uncharacterized. The record is from RefSeq and is a predicted model, not a curated record. NCBI's taxonomy places the organism in Eukaryota, Metazoa, Chordata, Lepidosauria, Squamata, Lacertidae.